UGCCAGCUUUUUCAAGUCUUGUUGGCAGGGUCAAGAUCUGCAGAAUUGGGAUCACAGCCCAUGCUUCUGCAGAGUCUUCAGGUGAAGCUGGUGCUGUCAGACACCGGAGAGCUUUGCAGUUCAUGUGUGCAUAUCUACUUGCCAACCUUGUGUUAGGGUGAUGGACAAAAGAUGGCUUCUAUAAACUGCCGAGGAAAAAAACUCCGUUGUUCCAUCCUGCAUGCUCCAUCAGAAAUUUUAUAAAGUCAAGCAUCUCAUACAAAAGUGACAAGGAAUUCAACAAGGGCAGGACAGUAACCAAGUGUGUGAAAGAGAAAGGAUGUUGUUGACACAAUAAAAAUGGAUGAA
Molecule: long non-coding RNA, 348 nt
Organism: Lonchura striata (white-rumped munia)
Lineage: Eukaryota; Metazoa; Chordata; Aves; Passeriformes; Estrildidae
Source: RefSeq, a predicted model, not a curated record